Molecule: small RNA, 903 nt
Filed under: Histoplasma capsulatum var. duboisii H88
Lineage: Eukaryota; Fungi; Ascomycota; Eurotiomycetes; Onygenales; Ajellomycetaceae
Description: Histoplasma capsulatum H88 hypothetical RNA
Source: RNAcentral
AAGACCUUUGCCAUUGGUGCAUCCAUUCUUGUCAAUGUCAUAUAUUUUUGCUCUGCAUCUUUAAGUUGUUGACUACAUUUUGAUGCGGCAGAUAAACUGACAGUUCUCUGCAACAGGGGUCAUAAUUGAUAUUAGGCCACUAGGGCAAAAGAGCUCAAUCACCACCAGCGCCGUGGUGGUAUAGAGGGUACGAAUCACCCAAUCCAAUCCCCCCAACAAUUGAAACAUCUGAAAUACGUAAGUGAACCCGAUUGCUGAAUUUACAGAGCAUACAGCUGAGAAACUUUUUUGGUCUUAAAUGCCAGGAUUUGAAAAUCCUUUUCUGUUUAUUUUGAUGUAGGGGUAGGGUACCAUUUACCUUUGCUCUUCUCAUGUUCUAGCAUGCCAAUUUGGAUGACAGGAUGUUGAGCAGCUAAGAAUAUUUUUAUCCCUGGGUUUCCUAAUGCGGUAAAUUGGUAUUAUCUACUCAAUUGGGACCAAAGUUCAGUUGUUCUUGUUGCCCCGCGAAAAUUGCCAUUUUAACUUGCGUGUAUAAUACUAGCUCUGUUCUUUUGCAUUACAUAUGACAUACUCAUAUAUAAUGUCAAAGCAAUGAGUAGACCCUGUCCUGCAAAUGGGAAGAUCACAUCAGAAGUGAAAAUUCCAGACAAACAUAUCAGCAAAACAAUGAUGGUACUGUACAUUGAUUCCCAGCGGAAUGCUAAUUAAUACAGAGAGAUGAGAUAUGUGAAAUAAACUUUUGAGCUUAAGUGAAUCACAAAGGCUUAAUUGUCCAUGUGGUCAGAGCUUCAGCACAACCAUCUAGUUCAUAUUUCUAUUUUCCUGGCUCACUCUCUUUGAGUAAAGCACAGCACAGGAAGGAGUUGUUUGACUUCCAUGAGCCUAGAGAGAGUUUUUAGCAAG